RNA transcript from Glycine soja, 2622 nucleotides. It is a transcript of the gene named probable receptor-like protein kinase At1g11050, with no coding region annotated. The record is from RefSeq and is a predicted model, not a curated record. The transcript is spliced from 2 exons. NCBI's taxonomy places the organism in Eukaryota, Viridiplantae, Streptophyta, Magnoliopsida, Fabales, Fabaceae.
AAGAUUUGGAGUUUUGACCAUUAAUUCCACAUGCUGAUCAUUGAUUCAUCUCCCUUAACCUCAAUUUCACAAAAUCAGCAUCUUCUUUUGUCUCACUCAUCUCAAAUCCCAAAACAAAACCACUCCCAGAUUCAUAAAUAGAAACAUAAAACAUCAAACUCCGUGUGGCAUAGCAUAGGCUAAGGUUGUGUUGUAGUAUAUUUGCAAUCAACAGAAUCAUAUAUCAGAGGAUGAAGAUUGUUGUGAUGCUAUUGCUACCGCCCUUGAUGUUUGCACUGUUUUUUUCAUGCACGAGUUCAUUGGCAGUAUCCACAAACACAAGUACCACAUGCCCCAUGGACUUGAAUUACGUUCUGAGAAUCCCAUGGAACACUUCUGCCUGCCAUAACUUCCAACAAACUCUGGCGGCUAAAAACGGAACCGACGCAAACACAUGUUGCAUCUCUCUCUUGUCCCUCUUCGGAAUAGGACUUGCAAAUCAUCUCAAGGAGACUUCUCAGUUCCAACUCCAAAACCUUGCCUCCUCACUUUCAUGCAUCAAAGACUUCCAAUCAAAGCUCUCUUCCCUCUCUCUCCCCAACAACCUCGUUGACACAUGCUUCGACCCUCUUCAGUUUGUGAUCUCCCCAAACAUCUGUGCUGGAAUUCAAACCAUCCCUGAUUGGACAAAAAAAGUUGGUCAGUCCACACCACUCAACACUGCUUGCAGAUCAGAUCUCACUGACAUCUCUCUCUGUGAUGUGUGUUUACAAGCUGGAUUGCAGGUCAAGCAGAAGCUUAUUUCCAUUGAUGGUAAUGCCUCACAUUCCAUUGAUUGUUUUUACUUUGCCAUUCUCUAUGCUGCUGGGAUUGUCAAUGAGUUUGGACCUGAAAGCAAUGGUGCUGUAAGUUGCAUUUUUAGCAUAUCAGUUUACUCACAAGGGGGCUCUGGGGGAAAGCGUCACCAGGCUCUUGUGUUUGGUUUGACAGGUGCCGGGGUUGCUUUGUUGGUCAUGUCUUCUUUUUUGGGGAUGUAUUCGUGGUAUGACAGGAAGCAUAGGAGGAAAAAGCUUGAGACUUUUAAUCAGUUUGAUUUUGACCCUGAGGAACAAGGUGGCUCUAGGCCUAGAUUGAGACCCAAUACAGGGUCCAUUUGGUUCAAAAUUGAGGAACUUGAGAAGGCUACCGAUAAUUUUUCAUCCAAGAACUUCAUUGGCCGAGGUGGGUUUGGGAUGGUGUUCAAGGGAACCCUGUCUGAUGGAACCGUGGUGGCGGUUAAAAGGAUCUUGGAAUCUGAUUUUCAAGGGAAUGCUGAGUUUUGUAAUGAGGUGGAGAUCAUUAGCAACCUCAAGCACCGGAAUCUGGUGCCCCUUAGGGGGUGUUGUGUGGCUGAGGAGGAUGAGAAUUGUGAUGAAAGGGGAAGCAGCCAAAGGUAUCUUGUGUAUGAUUACAUGCCAAAUGGGAACCUGGAAGACCAUAUCUUUUUAUCAUCAACGGAGGACUCUCAGAAAUCAAAAGGGUUGUCAUUGACUUGGCCUCAGAGGAAAAGCAUAAUCUUGGAUGUGGCAAAGGGGUUGGCCUAUUUGCACUAUGGAGUUAAACCAGCAAUUUUCCACAGGGAUAUCAAGGCCACCAAUAUACUACUUGAUUCAGAUAUGAGGGCAAGAGUUGCUGACUUUGGACUUGCAAAACAAAGCAGGGAGGGUCAGUCUCAUCUCACUACUAGAGUUGCUGGAACUCAUGGAUAUCUGGCACCAGAAUAUGCACUCUAUGGUCAACUCACUGAGAAGAGUGAUGUGUAUAGCUUUGGUGUGGUUGUUUUGGAGAUAAUGUGUGGGAGGAAGGCUCUUGACUUGUCUUCAUCAGGGUCACCAAGGGCAUUCUUGAUCACAGAUUGGGCUUGGUCAUUGGUGAAGGCUGGGAAGAUAGAAGAAGCUCUUGAUGGUUCCUUGGUGAAGGAUAAGGAUGAGAGCUUUCCUAGUUCAAAUCCAAAGAGCAUAAUGGAGAGGUUUCUUCUGGUGGGAAUUCUGUGCUCUCAUGUCAUGGUUGCUUUGAGGCCAACAAUUGCUGAUGCUUUGAAGAUGUUGGAAGGUGACAUUGAGGUUCCACAAAUCCCUGAUCGCCCCAUGCCACUUGGCCAUCCUUCUUCCUUUUACAAUAAUGAUCAUGGCAGUACUUUUAGCAUAUCUCCUGCAUUAAGCGGCCCCAAAUUGCAAACUGGAGACAUGCUCAGGUAAAUUAAUGAAGAAGUUCCCUUAUAUUGCUUAGAAUGUAGAAAGCAAAAAGAAGUGGAAGCUGUUUUCAUUCUAAAGUCUGACAAGGGUCCAGUCAAAUCAUGUUUGGUAACACCACCACUUCAUUUGAGGUCUAUUAUUGAGAACUAAGCCCUUCAAAGAGAUACGCAAGUCCAGAAUGUUGCAUAUUAUUUUUUUCAUUUGCAGGCCAUUGAACGGAACAAAAGCAAAAAAAAAAAAAAAUAUUGUUUUCGCUUUUGAUCUUCCCCCCCCCCCCCCCCCCCCAGUAAAUACAGUUUUGAUAUAUUAUGAAUAUCUUAGAUAGCUUUGCAAAUACUGUAAAAAUUCUGUAUAAAAUAUGUAUAUGGUUUUGAUUUUUUAUUUUAUUUUCAGAGACUUAUUAGUUUUA